UAGUUCGGAUUGUAGGCUGCAACUCGCCUACAUGAAGCUGGAAUUGCUAGUAAUCACAGGUCAGCAUACUGUGGUGAAUACGUUCCCGGGCCUUGUACACACCGCCCGUCACACCAUGAGAGUUGAGAAUACCCGAAGUCCAUGUCAAAGUGGCCGAAGGUAGGCUUGACGAUUGGGGUGAAGUCGUAACAAGGUACC
Molecule: ribosomal RNA, 198 nt
Filed under: uncultured bacterium
Lineage: Bacteria
Description: partial 16S ribosomal RNA
Rfam family: Bacterial small subunit ribosomal RNA
Source: RNAcentral